GCCCUUAUAGCUCAGCAGGAAGAGCAGCUGAUUUGUAAUCAGCCGGUCCUGGGUUCGAAUCCUAGUGGGGGCCCCA
This 76-nucleotide transfer RNA is filed under the name Planctomycetales bacterium. Its description in RNAcentral is "tRNA-Thr". It matches the Rfam family "tRNA". Rfam says of the family: Transfer RNA (tRNA) molecules are approximately 80 nucleotides in length. Their secondary structure includes four short double-helical elements and three loops (D, anti-codon, and T loops). The record is from RNAcentral. Lineage: Bacteria; Pseudomonadati; Planctomycetota; Planctomycetia; Planctomycetales.